UCUCCGUUGGUGAACCAGCGGAGGGAUCAUUACUGGGUGGCUUCGGCCUAAACCCCCAACCAUUGUGAACACGACCAGUUGCUCAGCAGGCUGGUGGCGGUGUAACAACUGCCCUGCCUGCGGCACAAAACUCUUCUAAUGUCAUCUCUGAGUUACUUUUAAAUAAGUCAAAACUUUCAACAACGGAUCUCUUGGUUCUGGCAUCGAUGAAGAACGCAGC
This 220-nucleotide unclassified non-coding RNA is filed under the name uncultured fungus. RNAcentral describes it as "sequence contains ITS1, 5.8S rRNA gene". The stretch from base 172 to 220 matches the Rfam family "5.8S ribosomal RNA", at positions 1 to 49 of the family's 154-position model. The record is from RNAcentral. Lineage: Eukaryota; Fungi.